CACCGGCGGCUCGAGUGGUGGCCACUUUUAUUGGGUCUAAAGCGUCCGUAGCCGGCUUGGCAAGUCCCAUGGGAAAUCUGGCGGCUUAACCGUCAGGCGUCCAGAGGAUACUGCCAGGCUUGGGACCGGGAGAGGUGAGAGGUACCUCAGGGGUAGGGGUGAAAUCUUGUGAUCCCUGAGGGACCACCAGUGGCGAAGGCGUCUCACUAGAACGGGUCCGACGGUCAGGGACGAAAGCUGGGGGCACGAACCGG
This 254-nucleotide ribosomal RNA is filed under the name uncultured microorganism. RNAcentral describes it as "partial 16S ribosomal RNA". It matches the Rfam family "Archaeal small subunit ribosomal RNA", at positions 474 to 727 of the family's 1478-position model. The record is from RNAcentral.